RNAcentral lists this ribosomal RNA (469 nucleotides) under uncultured bacterium. RNAcentral's name for it is "partial 16S ribosomal RNA". The stretch from base 20 to 331 matches the Rfam family "Bacterial small subunit ribosomal RNA", at positions 47 to 358 of the family's 1533-position model. The record is from RNAcentral.
GACGAACGCUGGCGGCGUGCUUAACACAUGCAAGUCGAACGGUGAAGCGAGUGCUUGCACUCGUGGAUCAGUGGCGAACGGGUGGGUAACACGUGAGUAACCUGCCCAUCACUCUGGGAUAAGCACUGGAAACGGUGUCUAAUACUGGAUACGACCAACCCUUGCAUGGGGUGUUGGUGGAAAGAUUUAUCGGUGAUGGAUGGACUCGCGGCCUAUCAGCUUGUUGGGGGGGUAAUGGCCCACCAAGGCGACGACGGGUAGCCGGCCUGAGAGGGGGACCGGGCCAAGGGGGAAGGAACGGAGGGCCGGCCCGACGGGGGGGGGGAGGGGGGGAGAAUUGGAAAAAGGGGGAGGAGGCGGGGGGAGGGAACGGGGGGGGGGGGAGGAGGCCUUGGGGUGGGAAACCUGUUUCAGCGGGGAAGAAAGAGAGGGGGGGGUCCCUGAGGAAAGAACCCCGGCCAAAUGCGGG